Molecule: long non-coding RNA, 389 nt
Organism: Fundulus heteroclitus (mummichog)
Lineage: Eukaryota; Metazoa; Chordata; Actinopteri; Cyprinodontiformes; Fundulidae
Exons: 3
Source: RefSeq, a predicted model, not a curated record
GUCAACUUACUCUGAUGUGAAGCUCAUACCAGUGUGAUCAUUGCUGUUUUUUUUAAAGUACAUGAAAAUAAAUGAACCAGCUUUGCAUAGAUGUAAAUGUUGAUAACUGCCACCAUCUCCUUUCAGACACUUUACAUACAAUUUGGACAAGAGCUCAAUCAAAUUUUAUGGAGUACUCUAAGCUGUAUAAAAAGGGUACCCUUUUCCACUCUUGCCAACUUCCAACAUCUCCCAGAAGAAGGAAGGAUCUUUGCAGAAACACUUCACAGAUUUUCUUCAAAGUGAUACUCAACCUCUUCUAAGUGGUUCUUCGUGUCUUUUCAAAAUGAAGGCGCUAUUCCUAUCGGUUGUCAUAUUUCAGCUCUUGAUUAUAAUUCUACCAAAGCCAG